GACGAACGCUGGCGGCGUGCUUAACACAUGCAAGUCGAACGGAAAGGCCCUGCUUUUGUCGGGUGCUCGAGUGGCGAACGGGUGAGUAACACGUGAGUAACCUGCCCUUGACUUUGGGAUAACUUCAGGAAGCUGGGGCUAAUACCGGAUAGGAGCUCCUGUUGCAUGGUGGGGGUUGGAAAGUUUCGGCGGUUGGGGAUGGACUCGCGGCUUAUCAGCUUGUUGGUGGGGUAGUGGCUUACCAAGGCUUUGACGGGUAGCCGGCCUGAGAGGGUGACCGGCCACAUUGGGACUGAGAUACGGCCCAGACUCCUACGGGAGGCAGCAGUGGGGAAUAUUGCACAAUGGGCGGAAGCCUGAUGCAGCAACGCCGCGUGCGGGAUGACGGCCUUCGGGUUGUAAACCGCUUUCGCCUGUGACGAAGCGUGAGUGACGGUAAUGGGUAAAGAAGCACCGGCUAACUACGUG
Molecule: ribosomal RNA, 468 nt
Filed under: uncultured bacterium
Lineage: Bacteria
Description: partial 16S ribosomal RNA
Rfam family: Bacterial small subunit ribosomal RNA
Source: RNAcentral